AACUUUCAACAACGGAUCUCUUGGUUCUGGCAUCGAUGAAGAACGCAGCGAAAUGCGAUAAGUAAUGUGAAUUGCAGAAUUUUAGUGAAUCAUCGAAUCUUUGAACGCACAUUGCGCCCUAUGGCAUUCCGUAGGGCAUGCCUGUUCGAGCGUCAUAG
Molecule: ribosomal RNA, 158 nt
Filed under: Chlorociboria clavula
Lineage: Eukaryota; Fungi; Ascomycota; Leotiomycetes; Helotiales; Chlorociboriaceae
Description: 5.8S ribosomal RNA
Rfam family: 5.8S ribosomal RNA
About the family: 5.8S ribosomal RNA (5.8S rRNA) is a component of the large subunit of the eukaryotic ribosome.
Source: RNAcentral